GCAAGUCGAGCGAACUGAUUAGAAGCUUGCUUCUAUGACGUUAGCGGCGGACGGGUGAGUAACACGUGGGCAACCUGCCUGUAAGACUGGGAUAACUUCGGGAAACCGAAGCUAAUACCGGAUAGGACUUCUCCUUCAUGGGAGAUGAUUGAAAGAUGGUUUCGGCUAUCACUUACAGAUGGGCCCGCGGUGCAUUAGCUAGUUGGUGAGGUAACGGCUCACCAAGGCAACGAUGCAUAGCCGACCUGAGAGGGGAUCGGCCACACUGGGACUGAGACACGGCCCAGACUCCUACGGGAGGCAGCAGUAGGGAAUCUUCCGCAAUGGACGAAAGUCUGACGGAGCAACGCCGCGUGAGUGAUGAAGGCUUUCGGGUCGUAAACUCUGUUGUUAGGGAAGAACAAGUACAAGAGUAACUGCUUGUACCUUGACGGUACCUAACCAGAAAGCCACGGCUAACUACGUGCCAGCAGCCGCGGUAAUACGUAGGUGGCAAGCGUUAUCCGGAUUAUUGGGCGUAAAGCGCGCGCAGGCGGUUUCUUAAGUCUGAUGUGAAAGCCCACGGCUCAACCGUGGAGGGUCAUUGGAAACUGGGGAACUUGAGUGCAGAAGAGAAAAGCGGAAUUCCACGUGUACGGUGAAAUGCGUAGAGAUGUGGAGGAACACCAGUGGCGAAGGCGGCUUUUUGGUCUGUAACUGACGCUGAGGCGCGAAAGCGUGGGGAGCAAACAGGAUUAGAUACCCUGGUAGUCCACGCCGUAACGAUGAGUGCUAAGUGUUAGAGGGUUUCCGCCCUUUAGUGCUGCAGCUAACGCAUUAAGCACUCCGCCUGGGGAGUACGGUCGCAAGACUGAAACUCAAAGGAAUUGACGGGGGCCCGCACAAGCGGGGAGCAUGUGGUUUAAUUCGAAGCAACGCGAAGAACCUUACCAGGUCUUGACAUCCUCUGACAACUCUAGAGAUAGAGCGUUCCCCUUCGGGGGACAGAGUGACAGGUGGUGCAUGGUUGUCGUCAGUCGUGUCGUGAGAUGUUGGGUUAAGUCCCGCAACGAGCGCAACCCUUGAUCUUAGUUGCCAGCAUUUAGUUGGGCACUCUAAGGUGACUGCCGGUGACAAACCGGAGGAAGGUGGGGAUGACGUCAAAUCAUCAUGCCCCUUAUGACCUGGGCUACACACGUGCUACAAGGAUGGUACAAAGGGCUGCAAGACCGCGAGGUCAAGCCAAUCCCAUAAAACCAUUCUCAGUUCGGAUUGUAGGCUGCAACUCGCCUACAUGAAGCUGGAAUCGCUAGUAAUCGCGGAUCAGCAUGCCCGGUGAAUACGUUCCCGGGCCUUGUACACACCGCCCGUCACACCACGAGAGUUUGUAACACCCGAAGUCGGUGGAGUAACUAGCCG
RNAcentral lists this ribosomal RNA (1398 nucleotides) under Bacillus subtilis. RNAcentral's name for it is "bacterial SSU rRNA". It matches the Rfam family "Bacterial small subunit ribosomal RNA". The record is from RNAcentral. Lineage: Bacteria; Bacillati; Bacillota; Bacilli; Caryophanales; Bacillaceae.